GACGAACGCUGGCGGCGUGCUUAACACAUGCAAGUCGAACGGAAAGGCCCUGCUUUUGUGGGGUGCUCGAGUGGCGAACGGGUGAGUAACACGUGAGUAACCUGCCCUUGACUUUGGGAUAACUUCAGGAAACUGGGGCUAAUACCGGAUAGGAGCUCCUGCUGCAUGGUGGGGGUUGGAAAGUUUCGGCGGUUGGGGAUGGACUCGCGGCUUAUCAGCUUGUUGGUGGGGUAGUGGCUUACCAAGGCUUUGACGGGUAGCCGGCCUGAGAGGGUGACCGGCCACCUUGGGACUGAGAUACGGCCCAGACUCCUACGGGAGGCAGCAGUGGGGAGUAUUGCACAAUGGGCGGAAGCCUGAUGCAGCAACGCCGCGUGCGGGAUGACGGCCUUCGGGUUGUAAACCGCUUUCGCCUGUGACGAAGCGUGAGUGACGGUAAUGGGUAAAGAAGCACCGGCUAACUACGUG
RNAcentral lists this ribosomal RNA (468 nucleotides) under uncultured bacterium. RNAcentral describes it as "partial 16S ribosomal RNA". It matches the Rfam family "Bacterial small subunit ribosomal RNA", at positions 28 to 507 of the family's 1533-position model. The record is from RNAcentral.